AUUGCGAGUUGCUCCGAGAUGCCAAGGACCAACAAUUGAAGCUAAGGUCAUGGUUAAGUGAAUCGCAAUCGCUGUACGAAAGAUAUUUAGACUACUGCGUGGCGUCUGAGGUGAGGAAGUGUGCCUUAUCGCGUCUGUAUCAGUAUCUAUACAAUGACUGUACAGAAGCAGCUGCCCUUCGCUAUUCGCAUCCACGUCGGCAUCAUCAAUACAUAACGCUACAUAGCUGCGAACAAGCAUUAUGUUGAGCAUUCAUUUUUUUUUUUUUCAGAAAUCAUGAGAACAGAGUGCGCUUUUUUCAAGAGUAACAUAGUCCGUAGAACCAAGGCUCUAAAGGAAUAAGGAAUAAGCAUUUCAUUUUCUCUAACAGCGUAAGUCUGUGGUCCGGGUGUCUACUGUCUCAGCCUCGGUGAGCAAGAUAUACGCUUUACUGAAACGCAAAUGCUAAGCUUCCCACAGGUAAAAAGAAUUGAUAUGGUUGAAACAAAUGCGUCGGUCUCAGUAAUAACCUUUUCUUUUCUGCCACACAUUACGCGUUGAACAGGCUGACAACAGACCCCGUGACGCCAAAGUGAACAACUGCAGCUGACCAGCUGAUAGACGUCAAUGGACGCGUGAUUCUUUGUACGAACAUUACAUGGGGGGCCUACAAGCCAGCAAGAGCCUUAUGCGAAAGCAGGUUCGAUCGAGGGCCGACAACUCGGCUGCGCCUCGCGGAUCCAACCCGAGCAGCUGUUCACAGCAGCGAAGCCGCAAGCUACAGGAAUCAGUGAAGACGUCGCCUUUGAGAGGUGGUUGCUCAGGAAUAACACGAUGUGUGCUGCGAAGAAAAGCAAGCUCUGCAGCAAAGGGCGUUGUCCGAUCGGAUAAACAGCUCUGUGUUCGUUCGCAUAUGCCAUCGAGAAAACUGGUUUAACGUCUGUAAAUAUAAGAUGUGCCUCGCUGGGCCGCACCACACUAGGAAAUGCGCCAGACCAGCGCCACGUUCGCCAUACCCGGGGGACGAUCGCACCCGUCGCCAAUCUGCCACCGUUGA
Molecule: long non-coding RNA, 1036 nt
Organism: Dermacentor andersoni
Lineage: Eukaryota; Metazoa; Arthropoda; Arachnida; Ixodida; Ixodidae
Source: RefSeq, a predicted model, not a curated record